Molecule: long non-coding RNA, 417 nt
Organism: Neofelis nebulosa (Clouded leopard)
Lineage: Eukaryota; Metazoa; Chordata; Mammalia; Carnivora; Felidae
Exons: 3
Source: RefSeq, a predicted model, not a curated record
GAAGCUGCUUCUCCCAGAGCCACAUCACACCAGAAGCAGGCUUUGCUCAACUGACUGCCACUCCCUCAAGGGAAGGGAGCCCUACUGUUCAUCUUGGCAACCCUGGCAGCAAGAGAGACCCAAGACCACUGCAAGAUGGUGUCUAGAGCCCUCCCUGAGAAUCAGAAAGCAUUUUCUGGUCUCAUCCACAUCCCCUUGACUUCAGAGGAAGGCCUAGUCCUUGUGAGUGAUGCUUCAGAAGGACAUAUAACCAGAUCGCUCUGCCCUGAAGCAGAAAGUGGACAGGUGUGCCAAGAAAACUCCCUGCCCCACUGGAUGGCACCAAGUGGAACCAUGAAGCAGAAGCCAGUGCAAAACAGUAAAUAAACUGUGGUGUAAUGGCCUGGCCAGACAACACUUGGGAUUAGGGAAGGCAGG